Molecule: long non-coding RNA, 1022 nt
Filed under: Numida meleagris (helmeted guineafowl)
Lineage: Eukaryota; Metazoa; Chordata; Aves; Galliformes; Numididae
Description: lncRNA (ENSNMEG00000002096.1)
Source: RNAcentral
GGAGAAGCUUGGAAAUACCACUAGAAUGCCUCCAAGAGGCUGAAAAAGCAGAAUGCGAGGAGGAAGAAUCUCAGAUUCUUUAUGGCAUUUAAAAUAAAGGCAGUGCAGUUUUUGAGCUGAAGGUUGUGAACUUCUGAGGUUGGAAAGAAUGAGUUUGCAUAAUGUCCCAGAGGCUUUGAAGUGCUGACUGAAAGCAAGCAAUUAACAGUAAGAGCAAUCAAAAUUAAAAACAAUAGAAAAGAAACAUUUGACAACAUAAUUAAGCUGUAAACAUGUAAAUAUUCUUAGACAUCUGUUCUUCAAAAUUAAAACUGUGUGAAUUACUUGGAAUACUGGAAGAAAAACAAAGACAUGAAAAAUGCUAUAGAGUGAAGCUCUUGAAUUAGGGAAGUGACUUAUAAGCACAGGCUGAUCUUUAGAGUCAAUCAGUUAUCUCCAUGACAGUGAAGGGCUGGAAGACUGAGCCACACAGUUAGGUGUCUCACCACAGCCUGGUGCCAAGGCUGGACACUCAUCAUAAACAAACAAACAAGAAUAUUUUUGUGGAAGUUAACUUCCUGCCCUAGUUGCACAGGCUGUGCUGAGGUUAUAAAGGCAAAUAUUUAUCAUUUGAUAAAAGGUUAUGAUCUGUUGACCUUGGAAUUACUCUUGCUUUCAAGUAAAGCAGAGCUCUUAAAAGCUGUUGUUACAAGCAGGCAGCCAAACUGCUCAAGCUUCCUGUGUAAUCUAUGACAAUUUUAUUUUUAUGUUCUCCAGAGGGCUGUGCCCUGGUGGUGGCUGGGAACUACAGAUCAUCUCGAGGGAUCCACUCAUCUGCUACAGCUUCAGAUGUCCCCACAGGGAUGGGCAUGGGGACAGGAAAGCCCUGCAGUCUUCCCAUCUUAUACGCAGGGAGGAGAUUUUGCCUAACUCAAGCCAAGUACCUUCCUUGCAAGACCAGGAGAUGUCUCUGUGAUGCAGAGGAAGCAAAAGGAACAAGACCAAGAACAGACUAUGCCCACAUCCCAGCUCCUGCCAGCUGA